GAUGAACGCUGGCGGCGUGCCUAAUACAUGCAAGUCGAGCGAACAGACGAGGAGCUUGCUCCUCUGACGUUAGCGGCGGACGGGUGAGUAACACGUGGAUAACCUACCUAUAAGACUGGGAUAACUUCGGGAAACCGGAGCUAAUACCGGAUAAUAUAUUGAACCGCAUGGUUCAAUAGUGAAAGACGGUUUUGCUGUCACUUAUAGAUGGAUCCGCGCCGCAUUAGCUAGUUGGUAAGGUAACGGCUUACCAAGGCGACGAUGCGUAGCCGACCUGAGAGGGUGAUCGGCCACACUGGAACUGAGACACGGUCCAGACUCCGACGGGAGGCAGCAGUAGGGAAGCUGCCGCAAUGGGCGAAAGCCUGACGGAGCAACGCCGCGUGAGUGAUGAAGGUCUUCGGAUCGUAAAACUCUGUUAUUAGGGAAGAACAAAUGUGUAAGUAACUAUGCACGUCUUGACGGUACCUAAUCAGAAAGCCACGGCUAACUACGUG
This 497-nucleotide ribosomal RNA is filed under the name uncultured bacterium. Its description in RNAcentral is "partial 16S ribosomal RNA". It matches the Rfam family "Bacterial small subunit ribosomal RNA", at positions 28 to 507 of the family's 1533-position model. The record is from RNAcentral.